Molecule: ribosomal RNA, 665 nt
Filed under: uncultured Lake Michigan sediment bacterium LMBA45
Lineage: Bacteria; Pseudomonadati; Pseudomonadota; Gammaproteobacteria
Description: bacterial SSU rRNA
Rfam family: Bacterial small subunit ribosomal RNA
Source: RNAcentral
AUUGAACGCUGGCGGCGUGCUUAACACAUGCAAGUCGAGCGGUACAGCGUAGCAAUACGUGCUGACGAGCGGCGAACGGGUGCGUAAUACAUGGGAAUCUGCUUUUAGUGGGGAAUAACCCGGCGAAAGCCGGGCUAAUGCCGCAUAAGAUCUUCGGAUGAAGCGGGGGAUCGUAAGACCUCGCGCUGAUAGAUGAGCCCAUGCCGGAUUAGCUAGUUGGGAGGUAACGGCUCACCAAGGCGACGAUCCGUAGCUGGUCUGAGAGGACGGCCAGCCACAUGGGACUUAGACACGGCCCAGACUCCUACGGGAGGCAGCAGUGGGGAAUAUUGGACAAUGGGGAAACCCUGAUCCAGCGACGCCGCGUGUGUGAAGAAGGCCUGCGGGUUGUAAAGCAUUUCGGUGGGAACGAAAUAUGCCGGGCUAAUACCCCGGUAGGCUGACGUUACUCAAUGAGAAGCACCGGCUAACUCUGUGCCAGCAGCCGCGGUAAUACAGAGGGUGCGAGCGUUAAUGGAAUUACUGGGCGUAAAGCGCACGUAGGUGGCGACGUAAGUCGGGUGUGAAAGCCCCCGCUCAACCUGGGAACUGCAUUCGAGACUGUGUUUCUGGAGUACGGAAGAGGAGGGCGGAUUCCCGGUGUANCGGUGAAAUNCGUAGAUAUC